UACGGAAGGCAGCAGUGGGGAAUAUUGCACAAUGGGCGCAAGCCUGAUGCAGCCAUGCCGCGUGUAUGAAGAAGGCCUUCGGGUUGUAAAGUACUUUCAGUCGUGAGGAAGGUGUUAAGGUUAAUAACCUUAGCAAUUGACGUUAGCGACAGAAGAAGCACCGGCUAACUCCGUGCCAGCAGCCGCGGUAAUACGGAGGGUGCGAGCGUUAAUCGGAAUUACUGGGCGUAAAGGGCACGCAGGCGGUUAAUUAAGUUGGAUGUGAAUCCCGGGCUUAACCUGGGAAUGGCAUUCAAGACUGGUUAGCUAGAGUCUUGUAGAGGGGGUAGAAUUCCAUGUGUAGCGGUGAAAUGCGUAGAGAUGUGGAGGAAUACCGGGUGGCGAAGGCGGCCCCUGGGACAAAGACUGACGCUCAUGUGCGAAAGCGUGGGGAGCAAACAGGGAUUAGAUACC
Molecule: ribosomal RNA, 453 nt
Filed under: uncultured bacterium
Lineage: Bacteria
Description: bacterial SSU rRNA
Rfam family: Bacterial small subunit ribosomal RNA
Source: RNAcentral